UACGUAGGGUGCGAGCGUUGUCCGGAAUUAUUGGGCGUAAAGAGCUUGUAGGCGGUUUGUCGCGUCUGCCGUGAAAGCCCAGGGCUUAACCCUGGGUCUGCGGUGGGUACGGGCAGACUAGAGUGUGGUAGGGGAGACUGGAAUUCCUGGUGUAGCGGUGGAAUGCGCAGAUAUCAGGAGGAACACCAAUAGCGAAGGCAGCUCGCUGGGACGUUACUGACACUGAGGCGCGAAAGCGUGGGGAGCGAACAGG
This 253-nucleotide ribosomal RNA is filed under the name uncultured bacterium. RNAcentral describes it as "partial 16S ribosomal RNA". It matches the Rfam family "Bacterial small subunit ribosomal RNA", at positions 524 to 776 of the family's 1533-position model. The record is from RNAcentral.